UACGUAGGGGGCUAGCGUUGUCCGGAAUCAUUGGGCGUAAAGAGCGUGUAGGCGGCCAGGUAGGUCGGUUGUGAAAACUGGAGGCUCAACCUCCAGACGUCGACCGAAACCAUCUGGCUAGAGUCCGGAAGAGGAGAGUGGAAUUCCUGGUGUAGCGGUGAAAUGCGCAGAUAUCAGGAAGAACACCCGUGGCGAAGGCGGCUCUCUGGGACGGUACUGACGCUGAGACGCGAAAGCGUGGGGAGCGAACAGG
RNAcentral lists this ribosomal RNA (253 nucleotides) under uncultured bacterium. RNAcentral describes it as "partial 16S ribosomal RNA". It matches the Rfam family "Bacterial small subunit ribosomal RNA", at positions 524 to 776 of the family's 1533-position model. The record is from RNAcentral.